RNAcentral lists this transfer RNA (75 nucleotides) under Synechococcaceae bacterium WB6_1A_059. RNAcentral's name for it is "tRNA-Thr". It matches the Rfam family "tRNA". From Rfam's summary of the family: Transfer RNA (tRNA) molecules are approximately 80 nucleotides in length. Their secondary structure includes four short double-helical elements and three loops (D, anti-codon, and T loops). RNAcentral also lists the same sequence under 1 other name. The record is from RNAcentral. Lineage: Bacteria; Bacillati; Cyanobacteriota; Cyanophyceae; Synechococcales; Synechococcaceae.
GCUGCAUUAGCUCAGUGGCAGAGCAACUGCCUUGUAAGUAGUAGGUCGUCAGUUCAAAUCCGACAUGCAGCACCA